UACGUAGGGGGCAAGCGUUAUCCGGAUUCAUUGGGCGUAAAGAGCGCGUAGGCGGACUGUUAAGUCAGAUGUGAAAACUGGGGGCUCAACCCGCAGCCUGCAUCUGAAACUGGCAGUCUUGAGUCUGGUAGAGGAAAGUGGAAUUCCCAGUGUAGCGGUGAAAUGCGCAGAUAUUGGGAGGAACACCAGUGGCGAAGGCGGCUUUCUGGGCCACGACUGACGCUGAGGCGCGAAAGCUAGGGGAGCGAACAGGAUUAGAUACCCUGGUAGUCCUAGCCGUAAACGAUGGGCACUAGGUGUGGGGGGUCAUCAACUCCCUCCGUGCCGCAGCUAACGCAUUAAGUGCCCCGCCUGGGGAGUACGGCCGCAAGGCUAAA
RNAcentral lists this ribosomal RNA (377 nucleotides) under uncultured bacterium. RNAcentral describes it as "bacterial SSU rRNA". It matches the Rfam family "Bacterial small subunit ribosomal RNA", at positions 524 to 898 of the family's 1533-position model. The record is from RNAcentral.